GAUGAACGCUGGCGGCGUGCCUAAUACAUGCAAGUCGAGCGAACAGACGAGGAGCUUGCUCCUCUGACGUUAGCGGCGGACGGGUGAGUAACACGUGGAUAACCUACCUAUAAGACUGGGAUAACUUCGGGAAACCGGAGCUAAUACCGGAUAAUAUAUUGAACCGCAUGGUUCAAUAGUGAAAGACGGUUUUGCUGUCACUUAUAGAUGGAUCCGCGCCGCAUUAGCUAGUUGGUAAGGUAACGGCUUACCAAGGCAACGAUGCGUAGCCGACCUGAGAGGAUGAUCGGCCACACUGGAACUGAGACACGGUCCAGACUCCUACGGGAGGCAGCAGUAGGGAAUCUUCCGCAAAGGGCGAAAGCUUGACGGAGCAACGCCGCGUGAGUGAUGAAGGUCUUCGGAUCGUAAAACUCUGUUAUUAGGGAAGAACAAAUGUGUAAGUAACUAUGCACGUCUUGACGGUACCUAAUCAGAAAGCCACGGCUAACUACGUG
RNAcentral lists this ribosomal RNA (497 nucleotides) under uncultured bacterium. Its description in RNAcentral is "partial 16S ribosomal RNA". It matches the Rfam family "Bacterial small subunit ribosomal RNA", at positions 28 to 507 of the family's 1533-position model. The record is from RNAcentral.